Molecule: long non-coding RNA, 1661 nt
Filed under: Nicotiana benthamiana
Lineage: Eukaryota; Viridiplantae; Streptophyta; Magnoliopsida; Solanales; Solanaceae
Description: long non-coding RNA (NBEN_LNC009142)
Source: RNAcentral
CUCACCAUUUCACUAUAAACCACAUUAUUCUUUACAAGUUAUAAUAGACCAAGUAAUUUUAAAAUACAAUAGUGAUAAAAAAAGAAGCUAUUCUAUAAGGAGCCUACCGCCAGGCCCAAAAUCUCCAACCGCACUUCUUUCAAGUUUCACAACCAUUACUAAGGCUUGGGUGCAGCAAAGUUCCCUAAGGGUUCGUUUGAACCCCUGGCCCAUACCAAGCAUCCAAAAUAUUAUAAUUAGACAAGUGCAAGUAUGGAAUUUCCAGCCUUGUGCAUCAAAGUUAGUUGGGUGCUCAGGGCUCCCAAAGCAGUGUUUUUAAGGGGGCAGAACAUAAUUUCUAAGAGUAGUGAGAUUGUGAUAAAGUUUGAGAGAGUUGAAAAUAGUUGAGAGACUGUUAGAGACAGUAGUAGAAAGAAUGGAGAGAGUUUAAGAAAACAGUUGGAAGAGUUGCAAGUGUUCUUUUGAAAUCAUUUAGACUGACCAGUUUUAGAACAACAGAGCAUCACACAAAUAAGGUCAAAGGGAAGGGAACACAUUGAAAGAAAGUAAACAGAAAUGGUUGCAAAACAAGAGUUCAAUUCAUACUAUAUAAAACUCUAAUACACUUAGCCUCAAACAGAGGUUUUACAAGUAGCCAUACAGACAUGGAUGCAUGGUAGUAGUACAAAAGGAAAAAGUAAACAUUCAUUGAGAUAGGGGAGGAAGUAAGGGAGCAUGUUAAGCUGAACCAAAUAGACUAGUAAGUUACAUGCUAGUGACAAAAAGAGCAACAAAACCAUAAGUAAAAGCACACAAAAAACAUUGUGAAAUGCAAAAUUAAUAGAAACAUAUUGUUGUUGAAACUAUAUUUUAAAGGGAUGACAUACCAGUUGCAAGUAAUAGACCACAAUGACAAUAGUGCACAGAGGAACAAGGUGAGCAGAGAGUGUAAGCAGCAGAGAGAAUAACAACACUAUGAGAAUAGCAGCAACAACAAACCCAAGUAAACAAACAAUAGAACUUAGUAGUGUAGAAGUAAUCAACCCAGGCUACUCAAUCUUGGCUUUCAGCAGCGAUUGAGUUUUCAAAUAAGAGAGUAAGAGACCAUAGGAGAGAAAGAGAGACUUCAGAGAUUCCAAAGUUGUGAGAAAUAUGCAGUGUGUAUUGGUGUGUUCAAAAAGAAAGAUGAGGAGUAUUUAUAGUUUUGAAAAGAACAGAGAAUAGAGUAGAGAGUAUAUAUUUAUAGAGAUAGUACCAAAUAGAAUCAAUCAUUGGUCCUAAUUCAAAUUAAUCUGUUGAUGAUUCGAAUGGGAAUACAACUAUAUCAUAUAAGGAAAGAAUCAAUCAGACGACUAAUUACACCAUAGUAAUGUAGUAGGUCUGUAGUAUGUAAUAGAGUCCAAAUACAUAAUACUCGAAUAAGGAAAACAUAUACUGAAUAUUGUAAAAAUUAUAUAAGAGCACAAAUAUGGUAAGAAUACAUAAUUUACUCUAAAAUUAGUAAAAAAAUGAUGGACGAGACUAAAAAUUAGAGGAAUUAGUGCUGAUUAUAGAGAGCAUUUCACAAGCAAGGAAAUAAUUCAAGAAAUCAGUGCAAGAACCUUUAAGGAAAACGCAUACAUAUUAGGGAUUCAAAGAGAUGCACAGAAUCAUUCGAAUACCAAUUAGACAUAUAAACACAA